AGAGUUUGAUCCUGGCUCAGGACGAACGCUUGCGGCGUGCCUAAGAAAUGCAAGUCGAGCGGAGAAGUAGCAAUACUUCUUAGCGGCGAACGGUCGCGUAACACGUAAGCAACCUGCCGAAAAGACCGGGACAACAUCUCGAAAGGGGUGCUAAUACCGGAUGUGGCCAUCGAUAGGCAUCUAUUGAUGAUUAAAUCCUGCGUUUACGCGUGGGGCUUUUCGAGGGGCUUGCGGCCUAUCAGCUAGUUGGUGGGGUAACGGCCUACCAAGGCGACGACGGGUAGCUGGUCUGAGAGGACGGCCAGCCGGACUGGGACUGAGAUACGGCCCAGACUCCUACGGGGGGCAGCAAUUAGGAAUCUUGCACAAUGGGCGAAAGCCUGAUGCAGCGACGCCGCGUGGAGGAGGAAGUCCUUCGGGAUGUAAACUCCUUUUCAGAGAGAAGAACACAAUGACGGUAUCUCUGGAAUAAGCUCCGGCUAACUACGUGCCAGCAGCCGCGGUAAUAC
This 509-nucleotide ribosomal RNA is filed under the name uncultured bacterium. RNAcentral's name for it is "bacterial SSU rRNA". It matches the Rfam family "Bacterial small subunit ribosomal RNA", at positions 8 to 526 of the family's 1533-position model. The record is from RNAcentral.